AUUUAAUUGGGAGAAAUGAGGUUAAUUAGGGUUUAGGUUUGGUGCUCAGAGAUUUAAAUUGGCGAGGGAUUGAAUAUGAGAGAGAGGAAUUGUGUCCAGAAAUAUUGCUUCCCAUCUCAAAUUCUCAGGUUUUUUCUUCAACAUGUCUUGAGAACAAAUUCUGUACACUAUAGCACUUUCGUAUAAACAAUCAACAAUUUUUGCCUUAUGAAUUGAUGUAUAUUUCUUAAACUCUAUAUAUAGUAGAAAACAGUUGCUACUGAAAUAACAUUAUUAUGAUCUAUUACUUUUCCAACAUUAUAAUGUUUUUUCAUACCAUAGAUGCAUUUUCUCAAAAUAUGAAGUCUGCAUUUGAUAUAGCAAGUCCAUCAUCACACUACAAGUACAAGAUACAAACAUGGUAGUUUUUAUUGAUGACAGACAUUACAGCAAACAAACAUACAUAAUAACAUGACCAUACAUAGGAGGAUGAGGGAAUUGGAUUCCUUCUCAUCAAUUAUUCAUAGCAACAAACAACACAACAAACCAUGACAUUUUCUAGAUGGAAACACUGUUGGGAAUGCCUCUGAAAGUCAAUCCUUCUUCACUAGAAGGAUAAAGCAGAGUGUAUGGCAUCUUCACAGGCCCGUAUCGGUUUCUCAAUGACUCGUCAGCGUUCCUUUUAACUAGCUUUUCCUCAAUUUCAGCCAACUUCCUUGCAAACUUCUUGUAGGCCUCUUUUGGCUGUGCAUCAGAAGUCCAAAGAUCACCUUCGAUUCUCUCCCCAAGGUAUUGCUCAUCAGAAGCAUGCCUUGACAAGACUUCAAUAAUGGUAAGGUCUGUAAGGGUAUCACUCUUGGGUGUGAUUGUCUUCAAAUAUGCCUUCUGGUAGUCCUUAGAAAGCUCAGCAUACUCGGCUGAUCCUUUCUCAGGCAUGAAUCUCCUGCUCUUAGUUGGUCGGUUAAGGAUGUAUCCUCCAUAUGGGUAUUGUCCAAAAUUAACAGCUGCAUGAAGUGCUGAAGCAAUCCAUAUAAGGAUGGUGGAAGCUUCGAUCAACUCCGCACGAGUUUGCAUCUUAAACCACCAUGUGGCACUCUUUAAGUCACCAUGACCCACCUCUACAAGUUCCUUCCAGAAUGCUUGGAGUUCAGCAUCUUGUGCAAUGGCAGCAUCUGAUUUGUAGUAGAAACUCACAUAUUCUCCAACCCAUGUCUUGAUAGCAGCCCAUAUCUCUAGUCCAUCCGAAGCAUAAGGAUAAUCCUCAAUCAAAAGGCGAAUGCCGUGUGGUGAAGCUGGAUCCUCAACAGCCACUCCUCUGCAUAACAAGCAAGGUAUAUCACAUUAGCAUAAAUAAAAAUUACUUUUGUGAAUCAAUUGCUUUUUCCUUUAUGAGUAAACAUAGAAUCUAAUGCUUUGUAAUAUCACCUUUUGAGUAGAUCAUUAGGUAGCCCUUGCUCAGUGAAAACCCAAUCCCUAUAUGCAACAGCAGACAUUUCCAAAGCAUAUCCUCCCCACAAGAAUGUUGAUUCUAUAAUACCCUCAGCAUUGACAAGGACAUUCCGUGCAAGUGAAUUUAUGUUCAUUGUGUCACGGUAGUGAGGAAGUAAAAGUUUGUGGACAGGGUGAACCGUACUAAGGUGUCUGUUUGUUGCUAUGAUGAACGGCUCAACAACAGCGUGAGUGUUCAACCUGUCAUACAUGUAGACAUUAAUAAACAACUCACAGAUAGAUAAAUUAUAUCUGUUUCUAUAAAUCUCAUUUACGAAAUUCAUACCAAUGGCUAACAAGUUGGUGAUGGCAAGAGUCAUUUACAACUACAUAAGCUUUAGCAAGUAGCCAAAUAGAAGCUUCAACACCUUCACUUGCAGGGAAGUAAACUUCACUAACAGGUCCAUAACUAUCAUCGUCAGGAUGUGGCUUACUUAGCUCAAUCGCCAGUGGCUUUAAAGUUCCAUCAUUUUGCAAGAAAAGGAUGGUUCUAGCAGCAUAGGCCUUUGUCUCAGUUGCAUUUAUUUUCCUCAAAUAUGGAUAUACUAUGUCAUAGUGAUCAAGGAUGUACAAUUUGUUGUUUUGGAUAGCCUAAUCAACAAAAUAUAAUUUAGUCACCGUACAUCAUUUGAAUAAAAAUGAACCAUUUCUCUAGAAAAACAUUAAUAUCUUGUGUCAUUACCUGUUCUACAGUGAUCCCGCCCAAGUUUGGCUCCAAUUGUUCUUUGGUUAUGGUGCUGGUGUUAUCUCCAUAUUUUUGGCUAUCUA
This 2235-nucleotide long non-coding RNA is filed under the name Medicago truncatula (barrel medic). RNAcentral's name for it is "lncRNA gene45379". Lineage: Eukaryota; Viridiplantae; Streptophyta; Magnoliopsida; Fabales; Fabaceae. The record is from RNAcentral.